GCCAGCAUGGUGUAGUGGUUUGAAUGUUGGACUAUGACUCUGGAGACCAGGGUUCAACUCCUGGCUCGGCCA
This is a non-coding RNA of Phrynosoma platyrhinos (Desert horned lizard), 72 nucleotides long. The record is from the annotation of a GenBank genome assembly. Lineage: Eukaryota; Metazoa; Chordata; Lepidosauria; Squamata; Phrynosomatidae.